GUGGAUGGAACAGUGUAGUGGUGAGGGUGUUUGACUCCCAGUCGAAAGGUUCUGGGUUCAACCCCCAAUGUCCGCA
Non-coding RNA from Merluccius polli (Benguela hake), 76 nucleotides. The record is from the annotation of a GenBank genome assembly. Lineage: Eukaryota; Metazoa; Chordata; Actinopteri; Gadiformes; Merlucciidae.